CGCACAAGCGGCGGAGCAUGCGGAUUAAUUCGAUGCAACGCGAAGAACCUUACCAAGGCUUGACAUGUGCCAGACCGCCGUGGAAACACGGUUUCCCCUUUGGGGCUGGUUCACAGGUGGUGCAUGGUUGUCGUCAGCUCGUGUCGUGAGAUGUUGGGUUAAGUCCUGCAACGAGCGCAACCCUCGUUCCAUGUUGCCAGCGCGUAAAGGCGGGGACUCAUGGGAGACUGCCGGGGUCAACUCGGAGGAAGGUGGGGACGACGUCAAAUCAUCAUGCCCCUUAUGUCUUGGGCUUCACGCAUGCUACAAUGGCCGGUACAAUGGGUUGCGAUACUGUGAGGUGGGGCUAAUCCCAAAAAGCCGGUCUCAGUUCGGAUUGGGGUCUGCAACUCGACCCCAUGAAGUCGGAGUCGCUAGUAAUCGCAGAUCAGCAACGCUGCGGUGAAUACGUUCCCGGGCCUUGUACACACCGCCGUCAAGUCACGAAAGUUGGUAACACCCGAAGCCGGUGGCCUAACCCCUUGUGGGAGGGAGCCGUCGAAGGUGGGACCGGCGAUUGGGACU
Molecule: ribosomal RNA, 564 nt
Filed under: uncultured bacterium
Lineage: Bacteria
Description: bacterial SSU rRNA
Rfam family: Bacterial small subunit ribosomal RNA
Source: RNAcentral